GAAUUUUCCGCAAUGGGCGAAAGCCUGACGGAGCGACGCCGCGUGGUUGAUGAAGUCCUUCGGGAUGUAAAGACCUUUUAUAGGGGAGGAAGUUUAUUGACGUUACCCUAUGAAUAAGAGGUUGCUAAACUCGUGCCAGCAGCAGCGGUAAUACGAGUGCCUCGAGCGUUAUCCGGAAUCACUGGGCGUAAAGGGUGUGUAGGCGGUCACGUUAGUCUUCUGUGAAAGACUUCGGCUUAACCGGAGUAACGCGGGGGAAACGGCGUGACUUGAGGAUGUAAGGGGCGUGCGGAACUCUAGGUGUAGGGGUGAAAUCCGUUGAUAUCUAGGGGAACACCAAAAGCGAAGGCAGCACGCUGGUACAUUCCUGACGCUGAAACACGAAAGCGUAGGGAGUGAAUGGGAUUAGAUACCCCAGUAGUC
Molecule: ribosomal RNA, 423 nt
Filed under: uncultured cyanobacterium
Lineage: Bacteria; Bacillati; Cyanobacteriota
Description: bacterial SSU rRNA
Rfam family: Bacterial small subunit ribosomal RNA
Source: RNAcentral